ACGCUGGCGGCACGCCUUAUACAUGCAAGUCGAACGAAGUAGCAAUACUUAGUGGCAGACGGGUGAGUAACAUGUGGGUAUCUUCCCUUUGGUGAGGAAUAACACGAGGAAACUUGUGCUAAUACCUCAUAAGUCUUUACGGAGAAAGCUUUAUGCGCCAAUGGAUGAGCCCGCACUUGAUUAGUUUGUUGGUGGGGUAAUAGCCUACCAAGACUUUGAUCAAUAGCUGAUUUGAGAGGAUGAUCAGCCACAUUGGGACUGAGACACGGCCCAAACUCCUACGGGAGGCAGCAGUAGGGAAUCUUGCACAAUGGAGGAAACUCUGAUGCAGCGAUGCCGCGUGAGUGAAGAAGGCCUUUGGGUUGUAAAGCUCUUUCGUCGGGGAAGAAAAUGACUGUACCCGAAUAAGAAGGUCCGGCUAACUUCGUGCCAGCAGCCGCGGUAAUACGAAGGGACCUAGCGUAGUUCGGAAUUACUGGGCUUAAAGAGUUCGUAGGUGGUUAAAAAAGUUGGUGGUGAAAUCCCAGAGCUUAACUCUGGAACUGCCAUCAAAACUUUUUAGCUAGAGUAUGAUAGAGGAAAGCAGAAUUUCUAGUGUAGAGGUGAAAUUCGUAGAUAUUAGAAAGAAUACCAAUUGCGAAGGCAGCUUUCUGGAUCAUUACUGACACUGAGGAACGAAAGCAUGGGUAGCGAAGAGGAUUAGAUACCCUCGUAGUCCAUGCCGUAAACGAUGUGUGUUAGAUGUUGGAAAUUUAUUUUCAGUAUCGCAGCGAAAGCAAUAAACACACCGCCUGGGGAGUACGACCGCAAGGUUAAAACUCAAAUGAAUUGACGGGGACCCGCACAAGUAGUGGAGCAUGUGGUUUAAUUCGAAGAUACGCGCAGAACCUUACCAACACUUGACAUGUUCGUUUCGACUCUAAGAGAUUAGAGUUUUCGGUUCGGCCGGACGAAACACAGGUGCUGCAUGGCUGUCGUCAGCUCGUGUCGUGAGAUGUUGGGUUAAGUCCCGCAACGAGCGCAACCCUUACUUUUAGUUGCCACCAUUUAGUUGGGCACUCUGAAAGAACUGCCAGUGAUAAGCUGGAGGAAGGUGGGGAUGACGUCAAGUCCUCAUGGCCCUUAUGUGUUGGGCUACACACGUGCUACAAUGGCAUUUACAAAAGGAAGCAAGAUGGCGACAUUAAGCAAAUCCUAAAAAAAUGCCUCAGUUCGGAUUGUACUCUGCAACUCGAGUACAUGAAGCUGGAAUUACUAGUAAUCGCGGAUCAGCGCGCCGCGGUGAAUACGUUCCCGGGUCUUGUACACACCGCCCGUCACACCAUGGGAGUUGGUUCUACCUUAAGGCAAGGUUUAAUACCCUUGACCACGGUAUAGUCAGCGACUGGGGUGAAGUCG
RNAcentral lists this ribosomal RNA (1398 nucleotides) under uncultured Pelagibacterales bacterium. RNAcentral describes it as "uncultured SAR11 cluster alpha proteobacterium 16S ribosomal RNA". It matches the Rfam family "Bacterial small subunit ribosomal RNA". The record is from RNAcentral. Lineage: Bacteria; Pseudomonadati; Pseudomonadota; Alphaproteobacteria; Candidatus Pelagibacterales.